RNAcentral lists this non-coding RNA (1328 nucleotides) under Cryptosporidium parvum. The record is from RNAcentral. Lineage: Eukaryota; Apicomplexa; Conoidasida; Eucoccidiorida; Cryptosporidiidae.
UCCAUUCUAACUUCAUGGAAGCAAGAAACAAUUGCAGCCAGUUGUAUGCUUUCGCUAGCCCCCCUUGAAAGCCUGUACUCGAUAUCUGCAAGGCGCCUCAUAAGUAACGGAACAACUUCAUCAGGCCAAUUUGCUUCCAUUGACUUGCUGUAAAGACCAUUUACGAAAUCUUGGGUAGAAUAUCCGUUCUCAUUCUGGGAAUUUUGAAGUGCACUAAAGCCACUUGAAAAACUCUCUCUUGAGAGAAUUCCAAAUAUAUAAUCCAAUUCACUCUUUGUGGGUAUCCCAAGAAUUCUGUGAAUCAUUUCUUCAUUAAUAUAUGUGAUAAGUCCUUCAAUAGAUGCCCCAUUUAGUUCUCCAGAAUCUUUAUGUUUUUCAAUGUUUCCGUAAUUACUCAUGCUGCACGACUGCAAUACAUUUAAAACUUUCCUCAUGUCUCCCCUUGAAGACUUUAUGAGCGACUCUUGACCUUCUCGAGUUAUAAAAAUCCUCUCUGACAGAGCAAUUUCUGAUAUUCGAUUCCUAAUAUCCUCAAUAGGAAGUGGGGAAAAUCUAAACCGUGUGCAUCUACUUUGCAAUGCAGGAGUUAUUUUAUUAACAUAGUUGCAAAUGAUGCAAAAUCUAACGUGUUCGGAAUAACGCUCCAUUAUUCUUCUUAGUGCCAUUUGAGCUGUGCUUGUCAUCAUAUCUGCCUCAUCUAGAAUAAUUAACUUAAUAUUCUCACACAAGCUUUUAUUACAGUCUAAAUUUCUUGUGCUUACAUCAGACAUUUCUAUAUCUUCAAUAUUUGAAUUUGUUCCACCUGAGUGAUUUAAUGUCGUUGAUGCACUUUCUGAAAAACUUUUGAUUGCAUCCCUUACAACAUUUAUGCCACGGUCGUCUGAUGCGUUGAGUUCCAACACCAUCUGAUACUUUCUAUCUUUGUAAAUACAUUUGCUAAUUGCAUGUAUAGUUGAAGUCUUUCCAGUUCCAGGAGGUCCAUGGAAUAAAAGAUGUGGAAGCUGGCCAGAACUAAUAAAUUUUUCGAUAGUGUUAAUUAUAUCUUUGUGCGACAGCAAGUCCUGUAGUCCUGAAGGCCUAUACUUUUCAACCCACGGUAAUUGAGCUUCCUCCAUUUUGAAAGUGAACCUCAGUUAUUGCAAUAGAAAUUCGAAGAAUAGAGACAAUUUUUAUCUAUUUAAUAGUAAUUUGUUUUCAAACAAGGGCAACUUUAUAUUCCUACUGACAAAUAAUAAAGUUAGUACCGCUCAUAAAAUUUAACGAGGGAAAUAAUCAUAUUUUUAACUACAAAAUUCGUUUGUAGCUUAAAAAAAUAUAAUAGAUUAAAG